UUUCUAACUGUAUUUUUGUGGAAGCGAAAAAACGAACAGAUAGAAAGGAAAGAGGAGAAGGAGGAAGGGGAGGCGGGGUUGCAGGAAAGAGAGAAGCGAGAGAAUUAUUUGAACGCGUGCCCCUACAUAUGAAUGCGACUAGCUGGGCGGUGGGGCCCGCCGCUUGUGCUGAUACGCGGGGAAGGCGCGCGCAACAACCGCGAAAUUCAAAUACCUGCAGUGCAGCACACAGCAGCCUGCGAAGAAGAAAAAGGAUAAGAAGACCGACUCGAAAGAGUUGUGAGCGCUGCGUACGCGCGUCGCGGCCUUCGAACAGUGAGUGCUGCAGUGAGUGUGUGUGUGCGUGCUGUGUGAGCGAUUGAUCGACGUACGGAGAGACAGCAGGC
Non-coding RNA from Caenorhabditis elegans, 386 nucleotides. Lineage: Eukaryota; Metazoa; Nematoda; Chromadorea; Rhabditida; Rhabditidae. The record is from Ensembl.